GAGAGAUGGCCGAGUUGGUUUAAGGCGGUAGUCUCGAAAACUGCUAUAGAUUAACCUCUAUCGAGGGUUCGAAUCCCUCUCUCUCC
This 86-nucleotide transfer RNA is filed under the name bovine gut metagenome. It matches the Rfam family "tRNA". Rfam says of the family: Transfer RNA (tRNA) molecules are approximately 80 nucleotides in length. Their secondary structure includes four short double-helical elements and three loops (D, anti-codon, and T loops). The record is from RNAcentral.